Molecule: ribosomal RNA, 301 nt
Filed under: uncultured bacterium
Lineage: Bacteria
Description: partial 16S ribosomal RNA
Rfam family: Bacterial small subunit ribosomal RNA
Source: RNAcentral
CAGUAGCCGCGGUAACACAGAGGGUGCUAGCGUUGUUCGGAAUGACUGGGCGUAAAGGGCGCGUAGGCGGUUGGCAUAGUCAGAAGUGAAAGCCCCGGGCUCAACCUGGGAAUUGCUUUUGAUACUGUGUUGCUUGAGUUCGGGAGAGGUGAGUGGAAUUCCCAGUGUAGAGGUGAAAUUCGUAGAUAUUGGGAAGAACACCAGUGGCGAAGGCGACUCUCUGGUCUGUAACUGACGCUGAGGAGCGAAAGCGUGGGGAGUGAACAGGAUUAGAUACCCCUGUAGUCCCUGUCUCUUAUAC